This 253-nucleotide ribosomal RNA is filed under the name uncultured bacterium. Its description in RNAcentral is "partial 16S ribosomal RNA". It matches the Rfam family "Bacterial small subunit ribosomal RNA", at positions 524 to 776 of the family's 1533-position model. The record is from RNAcentral.
UACGAAGGGGGCUAGCGUUGCUCGGAAUCACUGGGCGUAAAGCGCACGUAGGCGGAUUGCUAAGUCGGGGGUGAAAUCCUGGAGCUCAACUCCAGAACUGCCUUCGAUACUGGCGAUCUCGAGUCCGGGAGAGGUGAGUGGAACUCCGAGUGUAGAGGUGAAAUUCGUAGAUAUUCGGAAGAACACCAGUGGCGAAGGCGGCUCACUGGCCCGGUACUGACGCUGAGGUGCGAAAGCGUGGGGAGCAAACAGG